CACAAUUUAAAUCUAGGUUGUAGCAUUCUCAAUUUCUAACAUGGAAGCUUCCAUCAAGGGUUCUUAACCUUUUUUUGUACCUUGGGCUCCUUCUGGAGCUGCCUGGCAAAACCUGAGAGUUCCUUCUUAGAAACAAGUUUUAAAACAUAUUACAUAGGAUUACAAGAAAAUGAGUUAUUAGUUUUAAAAAACUUAUGGCUUAAUAUUUGGGCUGCUUUAUUAACUUUUUACAUAGCUGAAUUGAGUGGUGGGUCAAGUUCCAUAAUUUUGAAGUUGUAAUAAGCAUAAAUAUUUAUAAAAUCCGUAGGAACUAAAAUGUGAUAAGGCAUCUGAUUCUUCUCGUUGACAAAGUCAUGGUUAUUACCUGUGUUCAUGCUUAAGAUAAAUGCUAAAUUUCAGUGAGAGGUUAGUGAAGAGAAAGAUAAAAAUGUUGUCCCCUCUAAGUUUUUGGAUGUACAGAAUUCUGUCCAUACCCCAGGUUAAGAACCUUUAACCUUUAUGCUUCUACUGUUUGAUUGGAUUUGGGUGGUGAGGAAAGUAGUUGAGUCCCUUCUCCCCUCUGUCAGAACCUCAAAUUAACUCUGGCAGGUCAGUUCUCCUCAGCCAGAACCAUUUAAAAUCUCAAUUACCUGGUGCAGUCAUUCCACUGAUUUCUGUUUUACUCAUUAUUUCAAAAAUGAGAAAUAGAACAUGAGCAAGAAAUAUCCCAGUGCUUUUGGAAAGCUGUUUGAGUACUCUUGGAUGUGAUUUCCCUGGGAAAUCAGAUGAUUAAUGUGACUAGACAGGUAUACUUAUCUCUUGUAUCUGGGGGUCCCGGGGAUGCUCAGGCUGGCUCAUUAAUGUAGACAGUUUUCCUGUGCAACAACCAACCAUGUGAUCAUUUCAGUAAGCAAUUCCUUCAUGAUGAAGCAUUAGGGAAUAGGCUCUUCUCUGCAACUUUGUAACAGAAUAAAUGAAUCAGGGUCCCUCCUGUGUAAAGAGGCAGGUUGAACAAUCCUGUUUUGAAAGCAGACCUCCAGUAUCCAAGAGAGGGAGGUUUGGGUGGUCUCUUCACCCUAUUUCCCCAAAGAUGGAAUAUCCACCAUAGUAAAGACAUGCAAGGGGCAGGUCUCUGCAGACAUUGACUUUGACCCUAGAGUUAACCUUAUUAGAGAUCAUUUCUAGUUCUACCUAUUAGGAAAUCCUUGUGUCUUGACUUUGUUCUAAAAUCAUUUUAUAUCUUGGUUAAUGAUGGUGGUAACUUACAUUCAUGCCAAGUGAUGCUGACUAAACAUACAACUCUGUAUAUAUUUCAUAUCAUUUACUUUCUAGAUAUUCUCCCUUGCCCUGCUCUCUGUUUUUGUCUGGGUUUAAUUUGCUACCUGAACUUUUCCUCCAUCUAUCCUCUCAAUGCUAAGAGGAGCUGUCAACAUAUCUCCUGCAUUGGCUGUACCUUUCACACUCAGUGUUUCGAUUUUUCUCCAGUCUUAUUAUAUAAUCUUCACCCCAUAUCUCUUUAUGUCUGUUGAAGUGUUUCAUGCCUGCAGAGAUGGUGCAUCUUGGUAGAAAGGAAGAGACAUUUGGAUUUUGGUUCAGAGGUGAAAUGAUUGGAUUGUGAGAGCUGUAACCUCAUUAGUAGAUCAAUCCAUUUGAUGGAUUAAUAAUUUGAAUGGACUGCUGGGUGGUAACUGUAGGCAGGUGGGGCAUGACUAGAGGAAGAAGGUUAUUUGGGGUAUGCCUUUGGGGGUUAUGUUUUGUCCCUGGCUACCCAGGCUUGUGUUCUGCUUCCUGGCUUCCAUGAAUUGAGAAGCUUUCCUCUGUCAUACCUUUCUUCAUGAUAUUCUGCCCCAUCUUGGUCCCAGAGCAAUGGAGUUAGCCAACAAUGGACUGAACCUCUGAAACAGCCCCAAAUAAGCAUUUCCUCCUCUAAGUUGUUGUUGUCAGGUAUUUUGGUCAUAAUGAUAAGAAACUGAAUAACACACCAGGUGACCAGAAUCAACAUAUCCAAGGGACAAGUGGAUAUCCUGUGCCUCCAAAUGUGAUAGUUUGAGAAGGAUCUGUCACCUCUUAUGCAGUGUUUAGCUAAGAAUCCAUUACCUGAACCCAGCUAUGAGGAAACUUUAGACAUCAGAUGAGAAACAGUCUAUUAAGAAAAAGUCCCAGUGCGCUCUUCAAAGAUAUGUGUGUUGCUGGGGAUUAAACCAAAAAGAAUGUGAAAAAUUCUCAGAUUAAAGGAGACUAAAGAGGCAUGACAAGUGUCACACCUGAUCCUAAACUAAGUCCUAUAUUGGAGGGGAGAAUGCUGUAAAGGACACUUUCAUGAGACUAUUGUCAACUGGCAAAUUAGAAUACAGACAGUAGUCUCAAUUUAAUACAGGUUUUUUGGGUCUGGGGUUGUGGCUCAGUGGUAAAGCGCUUACCUAGCACGUGUGAGGCACUGGGUUUUAUUCUUAGCACCACAUAUAAAUAAUAU
Molecule: long non-coding RNA, 2452 nt
Filed under: Marmota monax (woodchuck)
Lineage: Eukaryota; Metazoa; Chordata; Mammalia; Rodentia; Sciuridae
Source: RNAcentral